UACGGAGGAUCCGAGCGUUAUCCGGAUUUAUUGGGUUUAAAGGGUGCGCAGGCGGGAGAUUAAGUCGGCGGUGAAAUUUUGCAGCUCAACUGUAAAAGUGCCUUCGAAACUGGUUUCCUUGAGUGUAGAUGAAGUAGGCGGAAUUUGUGGUGUAGCGGUGAAAUGCAUAGAUAUCACGAGGAACUCCGAUUGCGCAGGCAGCUUACUAAACUACUACUGACGCUCAGGCACGAAGGCGUGGGGAUCAAACAGGAUUAGAUACCCU
RNAcentral lists this ribosomal RNA (265 nucleotides) under uncultured prokaryote. RNAcentral's name for it is "partial 16S ribosomal RNA". It matches the Rfam family "Bacterial small subunit ribosomal RNA", at positions 524 to 788 of the family's 1533-position model. The record is from RNAcentral.